ACUUUCCGUAGAAGCUUUGCAGGUGUGGCCGCUGCGUCACGUGUGCGUAAGUAGGUGGCAGAGAGGAGAGAGGCUAUACCUACAUUCAGUAUUCUGACCUGUGAACAUUACAUGAUUAGUAGCCUAACAAA
Small nucleolar RNA from Mus pahari (shrew mouse), 131 nucleotides. RefSeq annotates it as small nucleolar RNA SNORA17. The record is from RefSeq and is a predicted model, not a curated record. Lineage: Eukaryota; Metazoa; Chordata; Mammalia; Rodentia; Muridae. The transcript has a single exon.